RNAcentral lists this long non-coding RNA (728 nucleotides) under Heterocephalus glaber (naked mole-rat). RNAcentral's name for it is "lncRNA (ENSHGLG00000031459.2)". Lineage: Eukaryota; Metazoa; Chordata; Mammalia; Rodentia; Bathyergidae. The record is from RNAcentral.
CUCGGGGCGCUCGGGCUGCUCCGGGGGCCUGGAGGCGCGAGGCCCCGGGCCGCAGCGCAGCCCCAGCCCGGCCCGCCAGCAGGUGGCGCUGUGCGCGGUCCUCAGACGCUGCGCGCCCAGGCGUGGUACACCGCGAGCAGUCCGACCCCAGGCCCGGCGCGGCCCAGACAGUGUUCCCAGGGGCUCCCGCCGGCGGCACGGCAGUGAUUCCCCAGGCCCACCCCGUCCGGCCGGAGGUACUGAUGGAAACCAAGGGAUAAGCAUUUGGAACAGUCUAGAGAGCCUUGGAAGUAGGAGUUUGGUUUGUUGUUGUUUUUAUUUGUUUUCCCUCCCUUGCUUUAUUUUUAUUAUGGUAAGGGCCUUCCUCCCAAACUGAAAAGUUAUACACGCCUACAUUUUACUAUUCCAUCAAGUGCUCCUUCCCACUGCACUUACUACCUUCCCUGAGUUGACUGUAUUUGAGGGGGAGAAAAAAGCCACAGCCAAAGCCACUUCAUAUGGCUGGGGGCUUGGGGAGCAGGAGGAAAACAAUCUUUAUUUCAUCCCAUCUACUGAAGACUAUUUACUACAUUUGAAAUAAAACUUCCAUCAAUACAAAAAAAUUGAAUAAAUAAAUAAAUAAAAUUAAAUUGAAAUCCCAAUAAAUUGAAAUCUUUGUAUUUUUUUUAAAACCCGGCAGGUGCGUGUGUUUACUUGACAUAAAUGACGCUCUGCCGGAAAUACAGUGC